UGUAUCUUGAGUGGUUGUGUUUUCGCUAUCGAGCAAAAUGUCUCGGGUGUAUGAAAACAUCUUUUGUUACGCUCUGAAAGAUUUCAGAGUUUCGGAGGAUGGCCUGAUUUCAGGCUAUUGUAAUUCGUUGGAGGAGGUGGAAACACUUCUUCAUCAGCUGAAAACUGUUGGGUUUUCAUAAUGUGAGAAGUAGUCGUUUUAAAGAGCCAUCUUCAGAUGUUAUGAAAAGUAAAACAAAGCAUUUCUUCAAGCAAAUGCAGGGACAUGUCCCUAUCCCCUUUUUUGGUUGUGCAUUUGCAGUGGAGUGUGUGUGGUCGAGGCACUGUGUUUUGGGGCCAAAAUACUAAAAAAGUAGAGAGUCUAGUGUACCUGAGCACUUGGAAGACCAUGUGACUCCUCGUAAGAGAUUGAGGAUCAUGGAUACUAGAAAAUGCAACUGCCCAGCGACUUUAAAUAUGAAGUGUAUAAGGGUGUAUCCUGAUUACCACAGUAUGCACUCAGCAACUGAACACAGGGAUACCAAGGCAAAAGUUCUUGCAAGUCUACAGAAAGAUUUGGCAGUGCCAUGCCUGCCUAAGAGCUACCUACGUUAUUAUUUGACUGCUUCCCCAGCAAGUGCACAC
Molecule: long non-coding RNA, 623 nt
Organism: Schistocerca americana (American grasshopper)
Lineage: Eukaryota; Metazoa; Arthropoda; Insecta; Orthoptera; Acrididae
Exons: 5
Source: RefSeq, a predicted model, not a curated record